AAAUGAGAAGCAAAUAAUUGCAUUUAGUUUCGACCUAAAAAUUUGAUAGUAAUAUCCUCACUUU
RNAcentral lists this transfer RNA (64 nucleotides) under Meloidae sp. MT-2010. RNAcentral's name for it is "tRNA-Arg". Lineage: Eukaryota; Metazoa; Arthropoda; Insecta; Coleoptera; Meloidae. The record is from RNAcentral.